GAUGAACGCUGGCGGCGUGCCUAAUACAUGCAAGUCGAGCGAACAGACGAGGAGCUUGCUCCUCUGACGUUAGCGGCGGACGGGUGAGUAACACGUGGAUAACCUAUCUAUAAGACUGGGAUAACCUCGGGAAACCGGAGCUAAUACCGGAUAACAUGUUGAACCGCAUGGUUCAACAGUGAAAGACGGUCUUGCUGUCACUUAUAGAUGGAUCCGCGCCGCAUUAGCUAGUUGGUAAGGUAACGGCUUACCAAGGCAACGAUGCGUAGCCGACCUGAGAGGGUGAUCGGCCACACUGGAACUGAGACACGGUCCAGACUCCUACGGGAGGCAGCAGUAGGGAAUCUUCCGCAAUGGGCGAAAGCCUGACGGAGCAACGCCGCGUGAGUGAAGAAGGUCUUCGGAUCGUAAAACUCUGUUAUUAGGGAAGAACAAAUGUGUAAGUAACUAUGCACGUCUUGACGGUACCUAAUCAGAAAGCCACGGCUAACUACGUG
This 497-nucleotide ribosomal RNA is filed under the name uncultured bacterium. RNAcentral describes it as "partial 16S ribosomal RNA". It matches the Rfam family "Bacterial small subunit ribosomal RNA", at positions 28 to 507 of the family's 1533-position model. The record is from RNAcentral.